This is a small nuclear RNA of Mesocricetus auratus (golden hamster), 111 nucleotides long. The record is from Ensembl. Lineage: Eukaryota; Metazoa; Chordata; Mammalia; Rodentia; Cricetidae.
GUGGUUCAUAAAAAGGGAGAGCACAUUUACUAAAACUGGGAUGAUAUAGAGAAGAUUAGCAUGAUCCCUGCACUAAAAUGACAUGCAAAGCAAAAAGCAUUCUAUUUUUUU